AACGAACGCUGGCGGCAGGCUUAACACAUGCAAGUCGAACGCAUGCCUUCGGGCAUGAGUGGCAGACGGGUGAGUAACGCGUGGGAACCUACCCCUUGGUACGGGAUAGCUCCGGGAAACUGGAGAUAAUACCGUAUGUGUCCUGAGGGACAAAGAUUCAUCGCCAAGGGAUGGGCCCGCGUCGGAUUAGCUAGUUGGUGGGGUAACGGCCUACCAAGGCGACGAUCCGUAGCUGGUCUAAGAGGAUGAUCAGCCACAUUGGGACUGAGACACGGCCCAAACUCCUACGGGAGGCAGCAGUGGGGAAUAUUGGACAAUGGGCGCAAGCCUGAUCCAGCCAUGCCGCGUGAGUGAUGAAGGCCCUGGGGUUGUAAAGCUCUUUCACCGGUGACGAUAAUGACGGUAACCGGAGAAGAAGCCCCGGCUAACUUCGUG
RNAcentral lists this ribosomal RNA (435 nucleotides) under uncultured bacterium. RNAcentral's name for it is "partial 16S ribosomal RNA". It matches the Rfam family "Bacterial small subunit ribosomal RNA", at positions 29 to 507 of the family's 1533-position model. The record is from RNAcentral.